RNAcentral lists this ribosomal RNA (442 nucleotides) under uncultured Pelagibacterales bacterium. RNAcentral's name for it is "bacterial SSU rRNA". It matches the Rfam family "Bacterial small subunit ribosomal RNA", at positions 1074 to 1533 of the family's 1533-position model. Lineage: Bacteria; Pseudomonadati; Pseudomonadota; Alphaproteobacteria; Candidatus Pelagibacterales. The record is from RNAcentral.
GUGGGUAGUCCGCACGAGCGCACCUCACUUUUAUUUGCCAUCAUUAAGUUGGGCACUCUGAAAGAACUGCCAGUGAUAAGCUGGAGGAAGGUGGGGAUGACGUCAAGUCCUCAUGGCCCUUACGUGUUGGGCUACACACGUGCUACAAUGGCAUCUACAACAGGAAGCAAAACGGCAACGUUAAGCAAAUCCCGAAAAGAUGCCUCAGUUCGGAUUGCACUCUGCAACUCGAGUGCAUGAAGCUGGAAUUACUAGUAAUCGUGGAUCAGCGUGCCACGGUGAAUGCGUUCCCGGGUCUUGUACACACCGCCCGUCACACCAUGGGAGUUGGUUCUACCUUAAGGCAAGGUUUUAAACCCUUGACCACGGUAUAGUCAGCGACUGGGGUGAAGUCGUAACAAGGUAGCCGUAGGGGAACCUGCGGCUGGAUUACCUCCUUUCU